This is a long non-coding RNA of Acanthochromis polyacanthus (spiny chromis), 2755 nucleotides long. RefSeq lists it as uncharacterized. NCBI's taxonomy places the organism in Eukaryota, Metazoa, Chordata, Actinopteri, Pomacentridae. The record is from RefSeq and is a predicted model, not a curated record. The transcript has 3 exons.
UUCUGUAUUAUUGUUUUUGUGGGGUAAUGUGUGCUCAAAGAUGAGACUUUCAGUGACAAUUUCAAUUAUUUUUUAAAUUUCAAUUCAUGACCAUUUUAUUUUGAUACUGUACCUCAAAAUCAUCUAAAAAAAAACAAACAAGCUAAAGAUAAUCAUCUAAAAAAACAACCUAUAGAUAGAUAUGAUUGUUUCUGGUUCCGGAAUGGAAGAUUCUAUAACUCCCACACCAGUACUUCAUGUGUGGCAUCAUGUGUGACAUCAUCAGCAGAGAUUAUAAGUAUAGGGUGAAUUAUUAAAACCACUCACUUCUAUCUAGAGCCAAAGACAGCGAGGAAACCAGGGACCAGCGAAGAAACCAGAGCGAGGAAUUAACCAAACUCAACAAACCUUCGACCGUCUUCCAGAACUUCAGUGUUGUUGAAGAAUCUCCAACUUCUGCAACCAAACAACUACUGCAGUUGUCACCUUUGAUGUCUUUUCAACCACUGUUGAACAAAAGUUCUGCUACCAUGCCAAUCAGGACCAAUCCACGGUGCAGAGGAGGACCAAAUUACCGUGGGCCAAACCACCACCACGUAAACCCCGCCGGACCCCAAAGCUCUGGUGGCGCCUCUCAGGCAGAAAUUAACUACCUUAACUACCUGAGAGAGGAUAACCAUCAUAUGAGCAUUCAAAUCCAGGAGCUCAUCGCUGAGAAGCAGCAGUCAUCCCACGAGAUGGUUCGCUCUAAGGCCAGGAUCCAGCACCUGGAAGAGAUUCUGCUGGAACUGGACAAGGAGAAAAAAGAAGUCCACACACAAAAGGGAGAACUCGAGCAGCAGAGAGAAGUCUUGGAGCAACAAGAAGAGAGUCAAAGACUGGAGGAGAAGAUCAGGCUGAAUGAGAACGUCAUCAGGUUCAAGACUGAUCAGUUUGAAACUCUCCAGACACAGUUCCAAGAACUGCUCAGGAGCAAAAAAGAGACAGAAGACCUGCAGGAAGAAAACAACAAGCUGCAGAAAGAAAAUCAGGCAUUGUUAGAAAAGACUAUUGAGUCUUUUGAGUCUCUCCUAGCGAUCAUCAGGCUCACUACUGAUCGGAUUGAAACUCUCCAGACAGAGAAAUCACAACUGGAGAAUGUGCUCUUCCAAAAACUGCUCAGGAGUAAAGAAGAGAUCGAAGACCUGGAGGACCUUUAUAUCCAAGAAAAAAAGAGAUGCUGCAAGUUUUUCAGAGGUCCCAAAGUGAGAAAAAACAAUAAAAAAAUAAGUGAAGAGGUGAUCGAGGAGACAAACGAACAACAGAAGCGGGAGAAGAAAGCCAAGAGUAGGAGAAAGGGCUUCUGGAGUUGGCUCAAGUGCUGUUUCCCUUGAGCCUCCCCUUUCCUCCAUCUCCUCACCUCUUCAAUGUGUGUCCUGUCAUGUGCGUUCUGUCGUGUGCAUUCUGUCGUGUGCAUUCUGUCGUGUGUCCUGUGUCCUGUCAUGUGUGUCCUGUCCUGUCCUGUGUCCUGUCAUGUGUGUCCUGUCAUGUGCGUUCUGUCGUGUGUCCUGUGUCCUGUCAUGUGUGUCCUGUCAUGUGUGUCCCUUUCCUUCCAUCUUUUCUUUUCUUUUCCUUUCCUUUCCUGUCCUGUCGUGUGUGUCCUGCCAAGUGCGUUCUGUCGUGUGUCCUGUCAUGUGUGUCCUGCCAAGUGCGUUCUGUCGUGUGUAAUGUGUCCUGUCAUGUGUGUCCUGUCAUGUGUGUCCCUUUCCUUCCAUCUUUUCUUUUCUUUUCCUUUCCUUUCCUGUCCUGUCGUGUGUGUCCUGCCAAGUGCGUUCUGUCGUGUGUCCUGUCAUGUGUGUCCUGUCAUGUGCGUUCUGUCGUGUGUCCUGUGUCCUGUCAUGUGUUUCCUGUCAUGUGUUUCCUGUCAGGUGCGUUCUAUCGUGUGUCCUGUGUCCUGUCCUGUGUGUCCUGUCAUGUGUGUCCUGUCAUGUGUCCUGUGUCCUGUGACCCCGAGUUAGGCAGCAUCCGAAGACAUACACCUUGAAUCUGCCUACAGACAUGUCUCAGAAUUCAGACUCCACUUUCUGUCACCAACUGACCAGUGGUGCUGCAGUGUCGGCUGAUGGCCUGUAUAGGUCCGGUAACGGCUGUAGCUCCAUAUCUGCUUCACAGCUACUAGGAGACAUGUUUCAGAAAAAGAACACUCACUACUAGCAAGCAAAAUUCACUCUUCAAUUGAAACCUUCACAGAUUUCUUGUUUUUUUUCCCCUACACAAUGUUCUGGGGGUUUUUCCCCUGCUUGCAGGUUAUAGUGAGUACAUGUUUAAACAAAGAUGAAGAUAUAAUAAAAAAAAAUGUGAUCAAAAUAACAUUUCUGUGUAUAUGUUGAAAGUUGUUAAAAUUAAAAUAUAUGUGUAUGUGGAAAUUCGAGUUUGACAUGUAUUUUUUCAUUACGAUACCAUGAUGUGUAUCUGUGUUUUUGCCAAAAAUGUAACAUUAUACUUCUUUGCUUAUGUAGAAAGACAGAGACACUGUCCUAUUUGAUUAAUUAGGGCACCUAUUGUAAUGAAACACACACACCCAAAACCUCCACAGGCUGCAUGUCAGCCUGAAAAUCAUUGAAACCUCUCAGCUUCACACAGCCUUUAGAGUAACUCCAAUUGAAAUUUUGACCAGGUGAGAUCUUCCUGUCUCUGCCUUUCAAAAUAAAAGCACAGCACAAUUUCAAAAUAAAGGCCUGCAACAGACCGGAAAAUGCCAGUUAAACAAUUGCCCUCUGUCCUGUAAUGUAUUCUG